RNAcentral lists this ribosomal RNA (407 nucleotides) under uncultured bacterium. RNAcentral describes it as "partial 16S ribosomal RNA". It matches the Rfam family "Bacterial small subunit ribosomal RNA", at positions 30 to 526 of the family's 1533-position model. The record is from RNAcentral.
AUUGAACGCUGGCGGCAGGCCUAACACAUGCAAGUCGAGCGGAGCGCCAGCCGGGUGCGUAAUGCCUAGGCAUCUGCCUCCUAGUGGUGGAUCACGUCCGGAAACGGGCGCUAAUACCUCAUCCUAUCUUCUGCGCCUAGUUCGGCUUAGCUAGUUGGUGGGGUAACGGCCUACAAAGGCGACGAUCCGUAAAUGGUCUGAGAGGAUGCGCAGUCACAAGGGGACUGAGACACGGUCCAGACUCCUACGGGAGGCAGCAGUGGGGAAUAUUGGACAAUGGGCGAAAGCCUGAGCCAGCCAGGCCGCGUGUGUGAAGAAGGUCUUCGGAUCGUAAAGCACUUUAAGUUGGGAGGCGUUACCAAAAGAGUAAGCAACGGCUAACUGCGUGCCAGCAGCCGCGGUAAUAC